Molecule: transfer RNA, 74 nt
Filed under: Camelus dromedarius (Arabian camel)
Lineage: Eukaryota; Metazoa; Chordata; Mammalia; Artiodactyla; Camelidae
Also listed under: 1 other name
Rfam family: tRNA
About the family: Transfer RNA (tRNA) molecules are approximately 80 nucleotides in length. Their secondary structure includes four short double-helical elements and three loops (D, anti-codon, and T loops).
Source: Rfam by way of RNAcentral
GAGGGUAUAGCUCAGUGGUUGAGCGUGUGUGCUUAGCAUGCACAAGGUCCUGGAUUCAAUCCUCAGUACCUCCA